UCAGUUCUCUGACGAUACAAGCGUGGCCU
Molecule: small RNA, 29 nt
Filed under: Bombyx mori (domestic silkworm)
Lineage: Eukaryota; Metazoa; Arthropoda; Insecta; Lepidoptera; Bombycidae
Description: ovarian small RNA-25841
Source: RNAcentral